Macaca mulatta (Rhesus monkey) is the source of this 597-nucleotide long non-coding RNA. NCBI's taxonomy places the organism in Eukaryota, Metazoa, Chordata, Mammalia, Primates, Cercopithecidae. The record is from Ensembl.
AAGCAUCAAAAUAAUUGAAUACUGUAAUGGCUCAGCACCUGGCUUAAAGUUAUAAUACUAAGAUUUACAUUAUUCUUAGCCACAGGCAUAUUUUUCACCAGCUUUUAACAACCCACCUCCUUUUCCCCUUCCCUCCCACACAAUAACUGGGAUGACUUGUCUAGAUCUUAGGCAAAAAUUCACUUAGCACAUCAGCUCCUGGAAACAAAUGCACUUAACCAGAAAAAUAGGGACAUCAACCAGCAAAGAUGCAUCCUCAUUUAAUAGAGCUUGAAAUUACUAUAAUCUGUAAAGUACAGUGAGAAGAAGAAGUUUCACCUGCCUGCACAUCAGUCAUUGAUUCUCCAUUUGACUUGGAGGGACUCUGAGGGACCGACCUGAGCCUGAGAAGAGGCAAGAUUCCCCUUCAAGGACACACUGGGAACUUACGGACCUCUUUCUCCAUGGUGCAGAGCACAGAGCGCUCACAAAUGCACGUGUGUUCUGAGAAUCAAAGGGUCAGCCUUGGACACAUCUGGCAUAUCAAGUGAAGAAACAGACUCAGAAUAGUCCUUGAGCUUGCCACUGGGAAGUGAAAAUCAAUUGCUUGAAUAAAUG